GACGAACGCUGGCGGCGUGCUUAACACAUGCAAGUCGAACGGUAAGGCCCUUCGGGGUACACGAGUGGCGAACGGGUGAGUAACACGUGGGUGAUCUGCCCUGCACUUCGGGAUAAGCCUGGGAAACUGGGUCUAAUACCGGAUAGGACCACUGCCUGCAUGGGUGGUGGAAAGCUUUUGCGGUGUGGGAUGGGCCCGCGGGCCUAUCAGCUUGUUGGGGGGGUGAUGGCCUACCAAGGCGACGACGGGUAGCCGGCCUGAGAGGGUGACCGGCCACACUGGGACUGAGAUACGGCCCAGACUCCUACGGGAGGGAGCAGUGGGGAAUAUUGUACAAUGGGCGCAAGCCGGAUGCAGCGACGCCGCGUGAGGGAUGACGGCCUUCGGGUUGUAAACCUCUUUCAGCACCGACGAAGCGCAAGUGACGGUAGGUGCAGAAGAAGGACCGGCCAACUACGUGCCAGCAGCCGCCGUAA
RNAcentral lists this ribosomal RNA (476 nucleotides) under uncultured bacterium. RNAcentral describes it as "partial 16S ribosomal RNA". It matches the Rfam family "Bacterial small subunit ribosomal RNA", at positions 28 to 523 of the family's 1533-position model. The record is from RNAcentral.